This 737-nucleotide ribosomal RNA is filed under the name uncultured Corynebacterium sp. RNAcentral describes it as "bacterial SSU rRNA". It matches the Rfam family "Bacterial small subunit ribosomal RNA", at positions 28 to 776 of the family's 1533-position model. The record is from RNAcentral. Lineage: Bacteria; Bacillati; Actinomycetota; Actinomycetes; Mycobacteriales; Corynebacteriaceae.
GACGAACGCUGGCGGCGUGCUUAACACAUGCAAGUCGAACGGAAAGGCCUGCAGCUUGCUGCGGGUACUCGAGUGGCGAACGGGUGAGUAACACGUGGGUGAUCUGCCUUGCACUUCGGGAUAAGCUUGGGAAACUGGGUCUAAUACCGGAUAGGACAGCUGUUUAGUGUCAGUUGUGGAAAGUUUUUUCGGUGCAAGAUGAGCUCGCGGCCUAUCAGCUUGUUGGUGGGGUAAUGGCCUACCAAGGCGUCGACGGGUAGCCGGCCUGAGAGGGUGUACGGCCACAUUGGGACUGAGAUACGGCCCAGACUCCUACGGGAGGCAGCAGUGGGGAAUAUUGCACAAUGGGCGGAAGCCUGAUGCAGCGACGCCGCGCGGGGGAUGAAGGCCUUCGGGUUGUAAACUCCUUUCGACAGGGACGAAGCUUUUGUGACGGUACCUGUAUAAGAAGCACCGGCUAACUACGUGCCAGCAGCCGCGGUAAUACGUAGGGUGCGAGCGUUGUCCGGAAUUACUAGGCGUAAAGAGCUCGUAGGUGGUUUGUCGCGUCGUCUGUGAAAUUCCGGGGCUUAACUCCGGGCGUGCAGGCGAUACGGGCUGACUUGAGUGCUGUAGGGGAGACUGGAAUUCCUGGUGUAGCGGUGAAAUGCGCAGAUAUCAGGAGGAACACCGAUGGCGAAGGCAGGUCUCUGGGCAGUAACUGACGCUGAGGAGCGAAAGCAUGGGUAGCGAACAGG